CCAGAGCUAUCUCGCGAAGUUGAGCGCUCACGCUUAUCGGCUGUUGAUAAAGACAGAAAGACUGUCUGUUAGCGGUUUAACCGGUUAUAAUGCCGGCCGCUUUCGAUAAUCAUCAAUGACAAACAUUCGAAUGAAGUUUGGUUCGAGUUUUUCUCAUUGGCGAUUGAGCCAGUCAGAGCGGUACGAAAGUAUCGGCUGUCGUUCUUUAACAAUCUGGAAGAAGUAAGUAAUUUGGAUAGCGGAAGCGUCUAUGAGAUGGACGUGAAAACUAUCCGGGUUGUGAUUGUAUCGAUGUAUCUCAAGAUGAUUCGAACUCUAUGUUUGACUCAAUUGGAAUACGGCACAAAUGCGAGAACUCAACCUGUAACGACUGUCGAGAGACAGACUCGUUAUAG
Molecule: unclassified non-coding RNA, 395 nt
Filed under: Burkholderia cepacia
Lineage: Bacteria; Pseudomonadati; Pseudomonadota; Betaproteobacteria; Burkholderiales; Burkholderiaceae
Source: RNAcentral